UAAAUUAAUGAAUGUAAUUGAGACAUAUUGGUACCAUACUGUGCAGAUUGCAUGGUGCCUGCACUAGGAUGACAUGCAACUUUAUGAAGUGUUCCAUAAGUAU
Hyla sarda is the source of this 103-nucleotide small nuclear RNA. The record is from RefSeq and is a predicted model, not a curated record. Lineage: Eukaryota; Metazoa; Chordata; Amphibia; Anura; Hylidae.